This 26-nucleotide transfer RNA is filed under the name Drosophila eurypeza. RNAcentral's name for it is "partial tRNA-Phe". Lineage: Eukaryota; Metazoa; Arthropoda; Insecta; Diptera; Drosophilidae. The record is from RNAcentral.
AUACUCUAAAUAUAAGCUAUUUGAGU